Molecule: ribosomal RNA, 253 nt
Filed under: uncultured bacterium
Lineage: Bacteria
Description: partial 16S ribosomal RNA
Rfam family: Bacterial small subunit ribosomal RNA
Source: RNAcentral
AACGUAGGAGACAAACGUUAUCCGGAGUUACUGGGCGUAAAGGGCGUGCAGGCGGUCGACUAAGUCUGGCGUGAAAGCUCUCGGCUAAACCGGGAGAGGUCGUUGGAUACUGGUUGACUAGAGGACGGUAGAGGCGUGUGGAAUUCCGGGUGUAGUGGUGAAAUGCGCAGAGAUCCGGAGGAACACCAGUGGCGAAGGCGACACGCUGGGCCGUACCUGACGCUGAUACGCGACAGCAUGGGGAGCGAACGGG